Long non-coding RNA from Ruditapes philippinarum (Manila clam), 702 nucleotides. RefSeq lists it as uncharacterized. The record is from RefSeq and is a predicted model, not a curated record. The transcript has 2 exons. Lineage: Eukaryota; Metazoa; Mollusca; Bivalvia; Venerida; Veneridae.
UUGCUUUUUAUAUGCCCGAAAGAAUUUCGGGCAUAUUAUGUUAUACCCCCUGGCGUCCGUCCGUCCGUCCGUCUGUCCGUCCGUCCGUUAGCAAUUUGGUUUCCGGAGCAUAACUUAAGUUCCAUUUGGCCCACAGUAUUCAAACUUCAUAGGAUGAUUGUCCAUAUUGGGUAGAAGACCCCUAUUGAUUUUGGGGUCACAAGGUCAAAGGUCAAGGUCACUAUGACCUUAAAACUGAAAACAGUUUCCGGAGCAUAACUUAAGUUCCAUUUGGCCCACAGUGUUCAAACUUCAUAGGAUGAUUGUCCAUAUUGGGUAGAAGACCCCUAUUGAAUUUGGGGUCACAAGGUCAAGGUCACUAUGACCUUAAAACUGAAAACAGUUUCCGGAGCAUAACUUAAGUUCCAUUUGGUCCACAGUGUUCAAACUUCAUAGUAUGAUCGUCCAUAUUGGGAAAAAGACCCCUAUUAAAUUUGGGGUUACAAGGUCAAAGGUCAAGGUCACUAUGACCUUAAAACUGAAUACAGUUUCCGGAGGAUAACUUUAGUUCCAUUUGGCCCACAGUGUUCAAACUUCAUAGGAUGAUUGUCCAUAUUGGGUAGAAGACCCCUAUUGAUUUUGGGGUCACAAGGUCAAAGGACAAGGUCACUAUUACCUUAAAACUGGAAACAGUAUACGGGACAUAACUUAAGUUCCAUUUGG